Molecule: long non-coding RNA, 803 nt
Organism: Poecilia latipinna (sailfin molly)
Lineage: Eukaryota; Metazoa; Chordata; Actinopteri; Cyprinodontiformes; Poeciliidae
Exons: 2
Source: RefSeq, a predicted model, not a curated record
CCGUGACGUCACGCUCUCAGAACUCCGCCCACUCCGCCAUGACGGACGUCAAAACAACCGACGCUUCCUUUGAAGCUGGUCUAAAAACAGAAAUCUGUAGCCUAAUAUCGCUCCCAUUUAGGUGAUUUCUCUUCAGAGAUGGUCAUAGAGUGCUGCAUGGUCGGCUGCAGAAAAACAAGGAUGCAAACCAAACUUAUUUUAUUUUAUAAUUUUAAUGAGGAAAGAUGCGUCGGCAUAGCAGGGCGUUAAUUAUAAUGACUGUCAGCCUUCGAUGUAACGCGGAUUUCCAGCCAACACGUUUUAAAAGGCAACAUGAGCUGAAGCAAAGGUGUAGUUCUGCUUCUGCAGCAUCAGAUAAACUUGUGAGGAUAUCUGAUAAAGAAGCAUAGUUGGUUUUCAGCAAAGAACCUUUAAUCCCACCUACCUCAAAACGGCUGCUUAAAUGUCAGGUUUGCUUGACACUCCUGCACCAAACAACCUUAUUUUCUUUUCUCUCUCAAUGGAAGAUUGAAGAUCAUGUGUGUGGGAAUCAGUAUCGGGACAUUUUGCUAUAGAUACCAUUUUGUAAGUCACCUGAAACUCCUCCUUUUCUCACUCUCUCUUUGCUCAAGCCUUGGCAUUAAAAUAUUUUGAGAAAACUAAUGGACUGGAAAAGAACAUCAUUUGAGGUAAAGCAGAGAAAAAUAUGGGAGAAACUCAUCAACUGUUCAGAUAAGAAAUCACUGGUUGAGAAAACAUGUUAUUUCUGGAAUCACAAGCAUACUCUUUAUUGUUAAAUAAAGUUUAAAUAACCUUGAAAUCAG